Molecule: ribosomal RNA, 426 nt
Filed under: uncultured bacterium
Lineage: Bacteria
Description: partial 16S ribosomal RNA
Rfam family: Bacterial small subunit ribosomal RNA
Source: RNAcentral
GUUAGGAAUCUUCCACAAUGGGGGCAACCCUGAUGGAGCAACACCGCGUGCUGGAUGAAGGCCUUCGGGUCGUAAACAGCUUUUGUAUACGAAGAAUAUGACGGUAAUAUACGAAUAAGGUUCGGCUAACUACGUGCCAGCAGCCGCGGUCAUACGUAGGACCCAAGCGUUAUCCGGAGUGACUGGGCGUAAAGAGUUGCGUAGGCGGCUUAUUAAGCGAGUAGUGAAAUCUGGUGGCUCAACCAUCAACACAUUGCUCGAACUGAUAGGCUUGAGAAUGGUAGAGGUAGUUGGAAUUUCUUGUGUAGGAGUGAAAUCCGUAGAUAUAAGAAGGAACACCAAUGGCGUAGGCAGACUACUGGACCAUUUCUGACGCUGAGGCACGAAAGCGUGGGGAGCGAACCGGAUUAGAUACCCUAGUAGUCC